This is a long non-coding RNA of Phacochoerus africanus (Common warthog), 793 nucleotides long. RefSeq lists it as uncharacterized. The transcript is spliced from 2 exons. NCBI's taxonomy places the organism in Eukaryota, Metazoa, Chordata, Mammalia, Artiodactyla, Suidae. The record is from RefSeq and is a predicted model, not a curated record.
CCUCGGAGGGCUCCCGGGGCUCCGGAGGCCCGCCGUCGGGCGUUGGGGCGGCUCUGGGAGCGGACCUGCCUCCGACGCUGUCUCGGCUCUGCCGGGGCGUUCGCUCAGGGCGGAGGGCUUGCCUAUUGGUUGCGUUAUUUGAAUGGAAUGGAGGAGAGAGAGGUCACGAAUCCAGCGCUAGUGCCUUCUCUUUCUUAGGCACUCCGAUGAGCUUGCUGAGACCCUUUUAAAAGUGGGGUCUGGGUAGCGAGGGCUUUGGUGGUAGUUGCCCAGAUCUCAGCGCAAGGUGACCGCCGGGCGACAAGGGGUGACCUGCGGUCGUUGCAGUGGCUUUCUGCCAGCCUCACUGUAGAAACGUCUUUCCGCUUACGCUUUCUCGUUGUUGAUGUGUUUGUGGGGGUUGGGGUUUUUUGGUUUUGGUUCUGUUUUCGUCUCAAGCGUAUUUUGGGUCCUCUUUCCCUUCCUUCAGCGCCUUCAUCCUCUCUGGUGCCACUCCUGAACUUAGCUCAGCCUGUUACUGGUCCUGACCUUUUAAGGGAGUCCUGGUUCCUGCUCUAUCGCUUUCUAAGGAUGGCUAAAGACCCAGCUGCUUCUAGAAUUCAAAAGGAAUGUUAAUAUUACGCAAUUGAUUUAACCGCAGGAUUUAGGAUUCCAUCAGCAGAUAGCACCUGUACUGGGUCAGGCAUUGUUCCAGAUGCUGGAGAUACAGCAGUGAACAAUUAAGGUUCUCUUACUUUCCAGAAGACUACAUUACAGCUUAUCAAAUUGAUAAAUAAAAAAUAAUUCAAACAUG